CCAUACUACAGGGGUUUGGAAGAAGGCAGGCUCUAGGAAGUAGCCAGACCUCAAGAGUGGUGGUGGCCAAGGGAUGACCACACAGCACAAGAGGGAAGGAGAAGGACAAUCCCACAUUGACGUCCACAGGAUCACCAUUUCAUUUGCCCUUCUUCACUUUCGGGAACAUCUGGGACAUCGGGUUCUGAGGUCCACUAUUAGGUAACGUGUUUUUCUUUCUUCUUUGGUGGGCAUACUGGGUCUGAUCCUUGGAGCUCCAUCUUCUUUAGAUAUUUGGCCUGGGAACCCGUGGUCCUCAAAGGGCAGACCUUCAAGUAGCCAGAGAAUCUGCUCCAUGUGGGUGUGGUAGACGUCAGAGUAAUGAGCUAAAGCUGCAGAGAGUAAUCACAGCCUUAAAGGAGAGCUCAUUUGUAGAAGAGAACAUGUUCUGGCUGCAAAAAGCAAUGGUUUGUUUUGGCUAACCAUGUUUCUGAAGUAAGGAAUUCAGGUGGUUUUUCUUGACUGCCACAAGAGGUGAGCAUGCCCAAUGCUACUAGAUACUGGAACCUCUAGGGAGAAAAGCCUUUUUUACUAAGCAUCUUGACCUGCCCUGACGGUGAUAAUCAGCACCUCUGUUAUGUAGACUCCACCCCAAUAUGGUGGGAACCAGCACCUCCACUAUUUAGAUCUGUCCCAGUAGGGACACAGUAGGAAUCAUUAUCUACUUUCCUGGCAGUCACUAUUCCCAUCCAUCAGUCAAGUUCAAGGGGAUGACUUCCAUUAACCCCUUUGCCUCAGUUUCUCCUUAUAAAAGGCUAAAAACAGUUCUUAUGUGAACCAUAAAAUCAAAGAAUGGCAGAAUUAGAAGGACCCAAAGAGAUCACCCAGCCCAAUACCUCAUUGUACAAAUGGGAAACCUGAAACCCAGAGAGUGGCACAGUAAAAAGAGCAUGAUCUUUGGAGGCAAAGGACUUGGGUUCAAAUCUUUUAUUUGAUGCUUAUUACCUAAGUGACUUUAGGUAAGUCACUUAAUCUUCAUGGAUCUCAUUAUCUUCAUCUGUAAAAGGAAGGAGUUGGAUUGCCGGCUCUCUGAGGUUCCUUCCAGCUCUAGCUCCCUGAACCUAUGAACUUUCUGAACUGAGACUAAAUGAAGAGAGCAAUGUGGCCAAAGUCACAUGGCAAGCCCCUUGUAUUCUUCCUAGCCCAUGGUCCAGCUCUUCCUUCAACCCACUGGUGUACCUCCUGAUUCUAUGUCCCUGGUCUCCAUCCAUGCAGCUCUAAUCAAGCUUGGCUAAGAGCUUUACUCUGCAACCCCUGGAUCCCAUCUGGGAGCAGGGUGCAAGGGAAGAUGGCACCAAGGCAUAGGACAAUUUUUCUAGGAUAAUAUAACAGCUGCACAACUGUGCCCCUGCUGAUUUCAUCAUGGGCAUGACUGGAAGGGCCGGUAGCUGGUGUUCCUCUCUGUGAAAGUGAUGGUUCCCCUUUCAGGAAACAUCUUUCAGUAUUUUUGUCCUAUCUAUACUGAGGUCAGGGAAGCAAUUUCCUUCCUUCUCCUAUCUCUAGGGACAAGGGGACAGUUCUUUCUUUAGAAGGACCAAAAAUGUGGGAAGAGUCUAAAUUGUACAGGCUUAUAGAGCUGUGUGUCCUGUUCUAUUUCUGAAUAGACCCUCCAAGUCUGGGAGUAAUGGAAAGAACGCUGCAGUUAGAGGCAGAGGGCCCGGGUUCAAAUUCUGCUUGUAUGUCUUUGGGCAAUAAAGUUAGAUUAUAGAACA
Molecule: long non-coding RNA, 1751 nt
Filed under: Monodelphis domestica (gray short-tailed opossum)
Lineage: Eukaryota; Metazoa; Chordata; Mammalia; Didelphimorphia; Didelphidae
Description: lncRNA (ENSMODG00000037986.1)
Source: RNAcentral